This 76-nucleotide transfer RNA is filed under the name Candidatus Nomurabacteria bacterium RIFOXYB1_FULL_36_10. RNAcentral describes it as "tRNA-Thr". It matches the Rfam family "tRNA". Rfam says of the family: Transfer RNA (tRNA) molecules are approximately 80 nucleotides in length. Lineage: Bacteria; Candidatus Nomuraibacteriota. RNAcentral also lists the same sequence under 3 other names. The record is from RNAcentral.
GCCAUCCUAGCUCAUCUGGUAGAGCAAUUCAUUCGUAAUGAAUAGGUGCCGAGUUCGAGUCUCGGGGAUGGCUCCC